Molecule: ribosomal RNA, 531 nt
Filed under: Penicillium sp.
Lineage: Eukaryota; Fungi; Ascomycota; Eurotiomycetes; Eurotiales; Aspergillaceae
Description: LSU rRNA
Rfam family: Eukaryotic large subunit ribosomal RNA
Source: RNAcentral
AAAUUUGAAAUCUGGCCCCUUUGGGGUCCGAGUUGUAAUUUGCAGAGGAUGCUUCGGGUGCGGUCCCCGUCUAAGUGCCCUGGAACGGGCCGUCAUAGAGGGUGAGAAUCCCGUCUGGGAUGGGCGGCCGCGCCCGUGUGAAGCUCCUUCGACGAGUCGAGUUGUUUGGGAAUGCAGCUCUAAGCGGGUGGUAAAUUUCAUCUAAAGCUAAAUACUGGCCGGAGACCGAUAGCGCACAAGUAGAGUGAUCGAAAGAUGAAAAGCACUUUGAAAAGAGAGUUAAACAGCACGUGAAAUUGUUGAAAGGGAAGCGUUGUCCACCAGACUCGCCCGGGGGGGUUCAGCCGGCACGUGUGCCGGUGUACUCCUCUCCGGGCGGGCCAGCAUCGGUUUGGGCGGCUGGUGAAAGGCCCCGGGAAUGUGCCACCCUUCGGGGUGCCUUAUAGCCCGGGGUGCCAUACAGCCAGCCUGGACCGAGGCCCGCGCUUCGGCGAGGAUGCUGGCGUAAUGGUGGUCAACGGCCCGUCUUAA